Non-coding RNA from Paramuricea clavata, 261 nucleotides. The record is from the annotation of a GenBank genome assembly. NCBI's taxonomy places the organism in Eukaryota, Metazoa, Cnidaria, Anthozoa, Malacalcyonacea, Plexauridae.
GUGUUUUUGCCUGACUAACCAAUAGCAAUGUUUUAGGAAAGUUACCUAUUCAUGACUGAAACAAUAGGGUAAAUUGAAAAUUGCUAUUAGUAGACAUGGAAAAAAAUAUAAUACACGCGUGACGGUGAAGAAACAUAUUUAUGAAUAAACGUUGAUUACCAUAGAUAACCAUCUAUUCUAUAUUAACUGGCAUGAGGGAGCUCCACAUGGAAUACGUAAAAAAAGCUGCAACACGCUUGUCAAAAAUGCAUACAAAAGCAC